This 301-nucleotide ribosomal RNA is filed under the name uncultured bacterium. Its description in RNAcentral is "partial 16S ribosomal RNA". It matches the Rfam family "Bacterial small subunit ribosomal RNA", at positions 509 to 807 of the family's 1533-position model. The record is from RNAcentral.
CAGCAGCCGCGGUAAUACGAAGGGUGCGAGCGUUACUCGGAAUUACUGGGCGUAAAGCGUGCGUAGGUGGUGGUUUAAGUCCGUUGUGAAAGCCCUGGGCUCAACCUGGGAAUUGCAGUGGAUACUGGGUCACUAGAGUGUGGUAGAGGAUAGUGGAAUUUCCGGUGUAGCAGUGAAAUGCGUAGAGAUCGGAAGGAACAUCUGUGGCGAAGGCGACUAUCUGGGCCAACGCUGACACUGAGGCACGAAAGCGUGGGGAGCAAACAGGAUUAGAUACCCGGGUAGUCCCUGUCUCUUAUAC